RNAcentral lists this ribosomal RNA (1334 nucleotides) under Gracilibacillus lacisalsi DSM 19029. RNAcentral's name for it is "bacterial LSU rRNA". It matches the Rfam family "Bacterial large subunit ribosomal RNA", at positions 1581 to 2925 of the family's 2925-position model. The record is from RNAcentral. Lineage: Bacteria; Bacillati; Bacillota; Bacilli; Caryophanales; Bacillaceae.
AGUACCGAAGUUCCGGAUUUCACGCUGCCAAGAAAAGCCUCUAGCAAGGAAACGGGUGCCCGUACCGCAAACCGACACAGGUAGGCGAGGAGAGAAUCCUAAGGUGAUCGGGAGAACUCUCGUUAAGGAACUCGGCAAAAUGACCCCGUAACUUCGGGAGAAGGGGUGCUUCUUUUGCGAGAAGCCGCAGUGAAAAGGCCCAAGCGACUGUUUAGCAAAAACACAGGUCUCUGCGAAGCCGAAAGGCGAAGUAUAGGGGCUGACACCUGCCCGGUGCUGGAAGGUUAAGGGGAUGCGUUAGCUUCUGCGAAGCGUUGAACCGAAGCCCCAGUAAACGGCGGCCGUAACUAUAACGGUCCUAAGGUAGCGAAAUUCCUUGUCGGGUAAGUUCCGACCCGCACGAAAGGUGCAACGACUUGGGCACUGUCUCAACGAGAGACCCGGUGAAAUUAUACUAUGUGUGAAGAUGCACAUUACCCGCGACAGGACGGAAAGACCCCGUGGAGCUUUACUGUAGCCUGAUAUUGAAUGUUGGUACAGCUUGUACAGGAUAGGUGGGAGCCUGAGAUGCGUGAGCGCUAGCUUACGUGGAGGCGCCGGUGGGAUACCACCCUGGCUGUAUUGACCUUCUAACCCAGAACCGUGAUCCGGUUCGGAGACAGUGUCAGGUGGGCAGUUUGACUGGGGCGGUCGCCUCCCAAAAUGUAACGGAGGCGCCCAAAGGUUCCCUCAGAAUGGUUGGAAAUCAUUCGCAGAGUGUAAAGGCAGAAGGGAGCUUGACUGCGAGACCUACAAGUCGAGCAGGGACGAAAGUCGGGCUUAGUGAUCCGGCGGUACCGAAUGGAAGGGCCGUCGCUCAACGGAUAAAAGCUACCCCGGGGAUAACAGGCUUAUCUCCCCCAAGAGUCCACAUCGACGGGGAGGUUUGGCACCUCGAUGUCGGCUCAUCGCAUCCUGGGGCUGUAGUCGGUCCCAAGGGUUGGGCUGUUCGCCCAUUAAAGCGGUACGCGAGCUGGGUUCAGAACGUCGUGAGACAGUUCGGUCCCUAUCCGUCGUGGGCGUUGGAAGUUUGAGAGGAGCUGUCCUUAGUACGAGAGGACCGGGAUGGACACACCGCUGGUGCACCAGUUGUUCCGCCAGGAGCAUCGCUGGGUAGCUACGUGUGGCAGGGAUAAGUGCUGAAAGCAUCUAAGCAUGAAGCCCCCCUCAAGAUGAGACUUCCCAUCUAUUCGAUAGAGUAAGAUCCCUCAGAGACGAUGAGGUAGAUAGGUUCGAGGUGGAAGCAUGGUGACAUGUGCAGCUGACGAAUACUAAUCGAUCGAGGACUUAACUAU